This 80-nucleotide non-coding RNA is filed under the name fish gut metagenome. The record is from RNAcentral.
CUCAUAGGGGUGCAACACGCUGAGACUGCCUUGCGCAGAACCCUUUGAACCUGAACCAGAUAAUGCUGGCGUAGGCAUUG